Molecule: transfer RNA, 84 nt
Filed under: Halobacteroides halobius DSM 5150
Lineage: Bacteria; Bacillati; Bacillota; Clostridia; Halanaerobiales; Halobacteroidaceae
Description: tRNA-Und (NNN) (tRNA-Und-NNN-1-1)
Source: RNAcentral
GAAAAAAGCUACCUGCCAGGACUUCAAAUCCAGUGGCAGGCAGCUUUAGUUGUCUGUGGUGGGUUCGAUUCCCACACUUUCCCG